AAUCCGUGUUGUGGACACUUCUGCAAGAGAUCCUUGAAUCUCUCCCACAUCUCAAACAAAGAUUCAAGCUCCAUCUGAACAAACGGUGAUAUCUUAUUACGAAGCUU
Molecule: small nucleolar RNA, 107 nt
Organism: Dioscorea cayenensis subsp. rotundata (Guinea yam)
Lineage: Eukaryota; Viridiplantae; Streptophyta; Magnoliopsida; Dioscoreales; Dioscoreaceae
Source: RefSeq, a predicted model, not a curated record